RNAcentral lists this small nuclear RNA (109 nucleotides) under Jaculus jaculus (lesser Egyptian jerboa). Lineage: Eukaryota; Metazoa; Chordata; Mammalia; Rodentia; Dipodidae. The record is from RNAcentral.
GUGCUCACUUCGGCAGCACCUAUACUUAAAAAUUGGAACAAUACAGAGGAGAUUAACAUGGCCCCUGCACAAGGAUGACACGCAAAUUCGCGAAGUGUUCCAUAUUAAA